GGAUGUGAGGCCUCUGGCUGCAAUGUGUCACCCCGUUACCCAGGGCUGGCUUGGCUUACCUGGCUGGCCAGGUGAGUGCCCCCUUCAUCCUUCACUGUCCGCAUGCUUCCCCCUUGAGGUUGCAUGCUGGGCCAAGGAGGACCAUCUUCUCAAACAGAGGCUGUUCUUCAGAGGAGGGUAUAUAGGUGGCUGUGCUCCCAUACUUGUUUCCAAACAAGCUUUCAAAAUGAGGCAAGGACUCCUGUCAAGAAGAAGUUCUGCUCCAUCUUGUAUGUUGAAAAAUGAAUCCAGUUCAUUUGUAUCACU
Molecule: small nuclear RNA, 306 nt
Filed under: Sorex araneus (European shrew)
Lineage: Eukaryota; Metazoa; Chordata; Mammalia; Eulipotyphla; Soricidae
Description: 7SK RNA (ENSSARG00000020029.1)
Rfam family: 7SK RNA
About the family: 7SK was discovered as an abundant small nuclear RNA in the mid-70s but a possible function has only recently been suggested. Two independent studies have found that 7SK RNA binds the CDK9/cyclin T complex (known as elongation factor P-TEFb).
Source: RNAcentral